RNAcentral lists this ribosomal RNA (450 nucleotides) under uncultured bacterium. RNAcentral's name for it is "partial 16S ribosomal RNA". It matches the Rfam family "Bacterial small subunit ribosomal RNA", at positions 338 to 795 of the family's 1533-position model. The record is from RNAcentral.
CCUACGGGCGGCUGCAGUGGGGAAUAUUGGACAAUGGGCGCAAGCCUGAUCCAGCAAUGCCGCGUGUGUGAAGAAGGCCCUCGGGUUGUAAAGCACUUUUAUCAGGAACGAAAUACCACGGGUUAAUACCCUAUGGGGCUGACGGUACCUGAGGAAUAAGCACCGGCUAACUUCGUGCCAGCAGCCGCGGUAAUACGAAGGGGGCAAGCGGUAAUCGGAAUGACUGGGCGCGAAGGGUUAGGUCGCUGUUGAAAUCCCCGGGCUCAACCUGGGAAUGGCAAUGGAUACUGGCGAGCUAGAGUGUGUCAGAGGAUGGUGGAAUUCCCGGUGUAGCGGUGAAAUGCGUAGAGAUCGGGAGGAACAUCAGUGGCGAAGGCGGCCAUCUGGGACAACACUGACGCUGAAGCACGAAAGCGUGGGGAGCAAACAGGAUUAGAUACCCCGGUAGUC